Molecule: ribosomal RNA, 465 nt
Filed under: uncultured bacterium
Lineage: Bacteria
Description: partial 16S ribosomal RNA
Rfam family: Bacterial small subunit ribosomal RNA
Source: RNAcentral
GAUGAACGCUGGCGGCGUGCUUAACACAUGCAAGUCGAACGGAAAGGCUCCUGCUUGCAGGGGUACUCGAGUGGCGAACGGGUGAGUAACACGUGGGUGAUCUGCCCUGCACUUCGGGAUAAGCCUGGGAAACUGGGUCUAAUACCGGAUAGGACGAUGGUUUGGAUGCCAUUGUGGAAAGUUUUUCGGUGUGGGAUGAGCUCGCGGCCUAUCAGCUUGUUGGUGGGGUAAUGGCCUACUAAGGCGUCGACGGGUAGCCGGCCUGAGAGGGUGUACGGCCACAUUGGGACUGAGAUACGGCCCAGACUCCUACGGGAGGCAGCAGUGGGGAAUAUUGCACAAUGGGCGCAAGCCUGAUGCAGCGACGCCGCGUGGGGGAUGACGGCCUUCGGGUUGUAAACUCCUUUCGCUAGGGACGAAGCGCAAGUGACGGUACCUGGAGAAGAAGCACCGGCUAACUACGUG